This 334-nucleotide unclassified non-coding RNA is filed under the name uncultured Clavulina. RNAcentral describes it as "sequence contains ITS2". The record is from RNAcentral. Lineage: Eukaryota; Fungi; Basidiomycota; Agaricomycetes; Cantharellales; Hydnaceae.
AACGCACCUUGCGCUCCCUGGUAUUCCGGGGAGCACGCCUGUUCGAGUGUCACGAAAUUUGUCAAGCUUGGAUGGCUUUUUUGUCUAUCCUUAGCCUUGGUUGUUGGGCUUUGCCGUGUCCUUCAUUGGGAACGGCUGGCCUUAAAAGCAUUAGCUGAUCCUCGUGUGGCACUGGUUCUACUCAGCGUGAUAAUAGUCUGAUCGCUGAGGACAUCUUUUGGGAUGGCCAGUCCUCAUUUGGGUUGCUUCUAAACUUGGUUUUGCAGAUUCUUCAAUCUGUGUUCCACUUUUCAGCUUUGACCUCGAAUCAGGUGGGACUACCCGCUGAACUUAA